This 303-nucleotide ribosomal RNA is filed under the name uncultured bacterium. RNAcentral describes it as "partial 16S ribosomal RNA". It matches the Rfam family "Bacterial small subunit ribosomal RNA", at positions 507 to 807 of the family's 1533-position model. The record is from RNAcentral.
AGCAGCCGCCGCGGGAAAACGUAGGUGGCAAGCGUUGUCCGGAAUUAUUGGGCGUAAAGGGCUCGCAGGCGGUUUCUUAAGUCUGAUGUGAAAGCCCCCGGCUCAACCGGGGAGGGUCAUUGGAAACUGGGAAACUUGAGUGCAGAAGAGGAGAGUGGAAUUCCACGUGUAGCGGUGAAAUGCGUAGAGAUGUGGAGGAACACCAGUGGCGAAGGCGACUCUCUGGUCUGUAACUGACGCUGAGGAGCGAAAGCGUGGGGAGCGAACAGGAUUAGAUACCCCUGUAGUCCCUGUCUCUUAUAC